GAGUCUAUCAGUUUUAUUGGAGCUGCAGGGACAGACAGAGCGAAGCACACAUUCACACUGUCAAAACCAUGCAAAGAGAGAACGAAUCCAGCCUCUCUGACUCAGAGUAAGUACUUAUUAAAUUGAUCUGUUCAGUGUCAAUUUGAAUUCAGCGGUCCAGUAUUUAUUGGCUGGUUUAAUGGACAUCUUUAAACAUGAAAUAAAGAAACAGACCUGCUGCUGUCUUCGUCUGUCUCUGUGCAGGAAGCUGAGCGUCAGGCCUGACAGAGAGAUCCACACAAUGUUCCGCUCCACCGAGAUUUACUCUCCAACACGUCCUCCGAUCCUCAGCUGACCUCACCUGCUCUGUUUGCUGUCGGCUCCUCUGUGAUCGAGGCGUCAGGAAAAAGAGGAAGUGUGCGGCUGUGCAUGCAAGUGCAGAAAAGACACAAUGGUAAAUUCUGUUUUACACACACAAAUCUGAUGCAUAAUUUAAUACGGCAUUCAACCUUUUACUGUUGAACACAAAGUAGAAGAGCACAGGUGCGAUGAAUAAGGUUAAUUAGCUGCUUUUGAUCCAGACUCCAGGUGUUGUGGAUUCUGAGUCACUAACAGCAGAAGUGUUGUUUGUGUAAUUAUGACCACCUGUGUUGUUCUCACAAUGAAAGUUACUGUACUUAUUGUUUGAUUAGGUUUUUAGCUGCUGACCUUCAUGUGGAGUGACUGUAAGCAACAUCAUUUUCACUGAUGGUGUGAGGAUCAGUGCUACAGGUCUUUAACGGUCAUUUCACAGCUCACAUCCUUCCAACACCUGCUCACUACAGAACAAUGUAGUGCAUUUCUUACCUCACACCUCCAACAUUAUUAAGCAGCUCAGCUGUUUAUUGUUUUUUUUUGGAUCAAAGGCAUUUGCAUAAGUUAAAGAAUUUUGCAGUUAAUGAUGAAAACAAGUCUAUUUAGCAUAAAGCCAGUUUUAUAUGAAAAUGUUUUUCUCUGUCACAGGAUGCAGUUUUCCCCUCAAUCACCUUUCCUGUGCUAAAGACGCAUGAAUGACCGAUAUCAUCUCUCAGGACAGCGCUCUAUUCAACACCUCAAUCGCCCGACACACAACAUUAAACAGCAUGUACAUCAUAUAUGCAGCUGUAACUUUUGUGCAGUUAGUUACUGCUAUUACCCUUCCUGGAAACUGACAACAUACUGAGCGCCAAAGACCCCAAGUCCUUCUGAAAGAGUGUUAUAGACCAGCUGUUCUUCUUACAGAGGAACCCAGGA
This 1251-nucleotide long non-coding RNA is filed under the name Xyrichtys novacula (pearly razorfish). Lineage: Eukaryota; Metazoa; Chordata; Actinopteri; Labriformes; Labridae. The record is from RNAcentral.